RNAcentral lists this long non-coding RNA (5660 nucleotides) under Homo sapiens (human). RNAcentral's name for it is "HSALNT0134391". The record is from RNAcentral. Lineage: Eukaryota; Metazoa; Chordata; Mammalia; Primates; Hominidae.
AGAAAAUCUUACAUUUUACUUUCGAGUGAUUGGCAUCCAAACUAAAUGUACUUGAACUGAAAAAAUCCCAUUUUACUCAUCUUCUCUAUAACGUUUCAACUGUUUGACCCCCAUUUUAUACUGAAAAAUUAUUCCCAUGUUUGAAUCAGACAUAGGGAUGAACCUAUUUUUGCAAGCACCUGCUACUUAGCAGUUAUGUGAUGUGAAAAAAGAAGAAAUUAUUGACAUUUACUUCCUUGUUUCAACAAGGACCUGGGAUAUGAGAACACUGGGAAUGCAGUUUGUUUUUCAAAAGCAAAAGAAAUGCCAGUAUCAGAUCACUGUAUUUGACAUUAUAAAAUAUUAUCAAAGUGGAAGAAUUUUUAAAGCAAACUUUAAGACAGUGAAUAAACCAUGAGAAUAAAUUAUUAGAUAUGGCAAAUAUAUGUACUUUUAAAUUCCAAGCUUAAAAAUUCACACACAUACACUUAAGAAUUUGGAACUUCAAAAACUUAAGAUAAUUUGACAUUUCUUCAAUUACAUCUAAAACCAAAAUGUUAGCUGUUUGCAUCCCUGAAGGCAACUUAUUAUCACAGAACAUAAAUCAAGAUAGUCAAUUUGUAUGCCUAGGAUAAAUGAGAAAAAGACUUAGUCAGCUUUCCAGGUGGUCACCGGAAAUUUUGUGAUGAAAUCCCAACUUACCCUUUAGAAAAUGCAAACCUGUAUUCUUCUUUAAUGUAAAUGCUUAUUUAUUUUCUCUUUUCAUGUAAGAGAUAUAACGCUUACAAAGUAUCAAAAAAUUAAAAGCAGUUUCAGAAAAUAUUUGCUUCUCAAUUGCCUAGAAAUUUCUAAAAACCUUUCUAAUAAAUCUUUAAGGUCAUAUCAAAAUCAGGCUAAGUAUGAUCUUGGUUGAAGAUGUGGAACAGAAAUAUGUAUCAGUUGAAAGGCAGUAAUUACUUAUCUUCUCAUUUAAGCUAUGUUACUCGCAGUCUGUAACACAAUUUCAUAAACAGAAAAGCAUCAAAGAAUAUGCAAAAAUGAACACACCUGCACAAUAUUAGACAAACUUGAAACUAUUAGGCCAUAGUAUGUUAGUAAUUAACCCAUUCUAGAGCUAAAUCAAGGCUAUGCAAUAAUCUUCAAAUAAAUUUAAGACACCCCAAAAGGGGGAUGUACAAUUAUUUGCUGUAAUUUAAUCCCAAUUCCACUCACUUGGUCUAGGACUCCAAACCCACAGUGAAACCCUUUAGACACACUACAAAGACACCCAAUAGUAUGAGACAGAAAUGCCUAAGCAAUUGAGAACAGAGCAGGUUUCUUUAAAAUUUUAGGUACAAUUCACAACUUGUAGUCUAGUUUCAAAUCCAUGCUUUUCCAGAUGUAUUUAUAGGUUAGAAUUUAAUGAAAGUUAAAAAAUACUUAAAAGAAAAACAUGAGAUGAAGCCAGCCUGUAUCACCUAGUCUCAGUUUAAUGAAUAAUGAAAUUAUUGAAUAAUAAUCAAAGGAGAUUUGGAAUGGGAUGUGCCUUUUGGGUCCCCAUUCCUCUAAAACUCCUAUUAGUGAAUUUGGCUCAAGCAUCACUUAUUCUGGAAAGAAACUAAACUUGCGUGAUCUGAAGGUUGAUACCCCCUGGAGGGCUGACAGGUUGGGGUAUCUCUUUUUUAUCAUACCCUGUAUUGUAAUUUUGUCCCCUUACAGAAAGAAAACUGAGCAUCUUGAAAGCAAUUUUAUUUAGAAAUUAAUGCCUGGCACAUAGUAGUUGUUGAAUAAAUGGCUGGCAAAUUAUUUUAUUAAUGAGUCCAUAAUCUGCCUACCUAGAAUGAGCUGGUGCAGGAAAAUUUUCCUACAUUAGGAAACAAUCCUCAAAUGCUAAGGUUACUGAGUAAGGACAGUGACAUUUAUUAUUUAUUUGAGAAAGGGUCUCGCUGUCACUCAGGCUGGAGUGCAGUGGCACGAACAUGGCUCACUGUAGCCUCAACUUCCUGGGCUCAAACGAUCCUCCCUACCUCAGCCUCCAGAGUAGCUGAAACCAACCAUGCCCAGCUAAUUUAAAUUUUUUUUUUUUUUGUAGAGGAAGGGUCUUAUCGUGUUGCCCAGGCUGGUCUCAAACUCCUGGGCUCGAGUAAUCCUCCUGCCUUGGCCUCCCAAAGUGCUGGGAUUACAAGUGUAAGCCACCAUGCCUGGCUAAGUUUUACACUAAAUCAAACUAUAAUACAAACUUCAAUUUAUGAAAAUAAAUGAGUCAUGCUUAUUAGGUAAUUUUUUAGCAAAUUGAAUUUUGAAUCUUAUUUUAAUUCACCUUAUUUUCUUACUGCUAUACAGAGUAGUGUCCAGAGAGAGAAUUACUUCUUGAUGACUGAAUCUUUUAGUAACUUAGGGUCAAAUUUUAAAUCAUAAACCAUAGUAAACUAGUUUCCAGAGGACUAGGCUGAACGCAGAGGCACCCAGAGAAGUUGGUUUCCUUGUUGUGUCUCUGAUAGCCUGUCAUUGCUGGCUUCACUUCUUGCACCCAAAUGGUACUACAAGUCUGGGAAUAACUGAAGGCCCCAGACAGAUGUGGCUGGUCAACCUUUUGCUUCUUCUGGCCUCCUCUCUACCCUCCAAAAAAACCCCUAAACUAUGAUUUUAAAAAAUCCAAAACUUUCUUAUAUAGUCACAGUGGUAUAUUGGUAGAAGAAUAGACAUACAGAUGAACAGAAUAAUGUCCAGAAAUAGAUCUACACAUAUAAGGUCAAAUAAUUUUAACAGAGGUGCCAAUGUAAUUCAAUGAGAAAUGGUUAAUCUUUUCAACAAAUGGUGUUGAAUGAUUUCCAUUAAAAAUAAAUAACCCACCUUCAUCUCACACAAGAAAAUUAAUGUGGAUCUAACACUUAAGUGAGAGCUAAAACUAUAGAACUGGAAGAAUACACAGGAGAAAAUCUUUGUGCCUUUGAGUUAGACAAAGAUUUCUUAGCUAGGACACAAAAAGCAUGAACCAUUAAAGUAAAAACAAGGUAAACUGGACUUCAUCAAAAUGAAAAUCUGUUCUUCAAAAGACACUGCUAAGCAAAUAAAAAGACAAGCCACAGAAUGGGAAAAAAUAUUUUAAGAGACAUAUCCAAUAAAGGAUGUGUAUCCAAAUGUACAGAUUCUUUUAACUCAAUAACAGUAAGACAAUAACAGCAACAACAAACGUGGGCAAGAAAUUUGGAUAGACAUCACAACAAGGAAGAUAUAAAGAUGGCAAAUAAGCAUAGGAAAGAUGUUCAAUAUCAUUAGUCAUUAGAGAAAUAAAUCAAAACCCAUGAGAAACUACUGCACACAUCCUAGAAUGGCUACAAUGAAAAAAGGCUAACAAUACCAGAGGCUGGUGAAGAUGUGGAACAAACAAAACGUGUUGCCAGUGGAAAUGCAAAAUCAUGCAGCCACUAUGGAAAAGUUUAGCAGUUUCCUAAAAAGGUAAACAUAUAUUAAUACUACCACCAUACAGCCCAGGAACCCUACCACUAGAUAUUUAUGCAAGAUAAAUGAAAACAUGUGACUAUAAAAAAUGAUCCAUAUGUGAAUUGUUACAGCAGCUUUAUUCACAUUAGCCCCAAACCAGAAAUAAUCGAAAUAUCCAUCAAGUGGUAAACUGAUAAACAAGUUUUGGUACAUCUAUAAAAUGGAAUAAACAAGUAUCAGCAAUAAACAAGUAUCAACUACUUACAGCAUGCAAGCAUGGGUGAAUCUCAAAAGCAUUACGCUAAGCUAAAGACACAAAGGGGUAUAUAUUAUAUGAUCUCAUUUGUAUCUUGUACAAAUGAGACCUGGUAGAUAAAACUGCAUCUAACUUGCUUUGAUUUUUCAGAUUUUUUUUUUUUUUUUUAGGAAAAAUGCCUAUUUGUUAUUGACAAAUGUCAACAAAAUGUUUAUAAUGAAACAUUUUGAAACUAACGGUGUGUUUACAUUUUUAACUGCUGCUAGAAAAAGAGAACAUUUCACAUUUGAAAAACCAUGCCCAAAUCACAGAUUGGAAAUGUUUCCCUCAUUCUCAUUAGCACUUUUUGAGAAAUAAAACAAAGCAUGUGUAAUUUUAAAAAUUGAAAUACAAUUGUGAUCAUAUAUCAUCAUAGAAAACAGGGAGUGAAAUAACAAUCAAUAGUUAGUUGUUAGUCUUCAUAUUAGACAAGGUAGAAAUGCAAAACAAUUUUAUUAGGUUUCUGAAAGUUUUCUCUUAAAAUCAGCAAAACGAAAAAGCUUCAGAGAAGCUAAUUCAUUCAUUUUUUUGGGGUGGGGGGAGUGGUGAGCUUGUUUUUAGUGGUAGAGAUUUGCCAACCACACCAAACUAGAAAUGGAAAAAAAAAAAGUCUAUAAAUAAUUUACAUGUAAAGAUAAAAGAAUUUUAAAAACAAUCCACCCUUGAGCAGAAGAAAUUGGGGAUCACUUUGAGUGUUAAUGUAAAAUACAUUAGUCUUUAGCAGCAGGAGUUCCAGACCUGCCGGUGCCAAGAAGGUAACAAAUAGUCUCUAUGUAAGAAGGGGGAAAUGGGUGCCCAGCGGGAGCUUUCUUCCCUGCUGUGUUAUUUAUAGAGAGCUCUAUUUGUUAACAUGUUUCUGCUAUCAUGGAGAGGGGGAGUUUAAUGAUUUAAAGGAUUUCAAAGACAAUUGUUUAAUGAUAUAAUGAUUUAUGUGCAUUCAUAAAUUCCAGAUAUAUAGCAAUUUAGUUUUUCAAACUGCUAUCACCAAAACAGCCAUAGGAGAUGUUGCAAAAGCUAGAGAAACCAAGUCAAGUGCCAGAUAUUAUUAAAAAAAAAAAAAAAAAAAAAGAACCGCUGGAAAACUCAGUGUUAAAAAAUCAGUGACCUACUGCCACACUUCAGGUUAGUAAACUAAUUUUAUCAGUGAGUUUUUGGUUUUCAAAACUUUUAAUGGAAAACCAUGAAUUAAGUCCCAAACUGCCUGUGACUAAUUAGAAUAAUCUGAGAGCCCAGUCUUUAACUGAGCUAUAUUUUCACCAAAAAUAAAAAAUAAAAAAUAAAAAAUUCCUCCCCCCAACACACAACAAAAUAUAAAGGAAUCUUGUUUAAAGGAAUGAAUAGUUUCACAUCAGAGUUAUUUCUAAAUUAUAUAUUCAUUUAUAAUGAUGAAUUUAUAAGAUUGUGGUUACUGAAAUAAUUUUCUGAAAUUUCUUGUUUAGGAUUUAAACUAUUAAAAUAAAAAUCUCAUUUGAGACAGAUAAAACAAGUCAUCAAGUCUUCUCUUAAAUUUAACCAAAAGGAAAACAAGUUUUAUAAUUUCAACUUUUGUUAGUUAAAAUUUAUAGCCAGGUUUUUUUUUUCUAAAGAAAAAUACAUAUCUUACCCGCUUUAAGUCUUCAAGUUUAUAUUUCCUUCAAUUUUCAUAAAGUUCCAUUAAUUCUAUCAAUUUAUCUUUUGUGGGGAAAAAAAAGAAAAACAAACAAACAAAAAAACAAACCUCUUAUCCAGAUAAAAUCAGCCAAUUCUAAAAGAUGCUUCUAACAACAGAGUCUAAGACUUCAGUGGUAAAUAUGUACUUAAAAAUAUAUAUGCUAAAAAAAAGUCUAAAAAUUGAGAGAUGUCUUCUUGUGCCUAAAAAUAACCUUUUUAGCAAAGUAGUAAUAAAGCAUUUACUCUCUGGCGGAAGAAGAAUAUAUUUAAUAGAAUGUUUUCUAUCUGAAUGAUGAAGAAACUUAUUUAUUUC